UCACCGCUUACGCGGGCAGUUUCACUAGAGUCCCCAGCAUUACCUGUUGGCAACUAGUGAUAGGGGUUGCGCUCGUUAUGGGACUUAACCCGACACCUCACGGCACGAGCUGACGACAGCCAUGCAGCACCUAGACAGCAGUCCCGAAGGAAGGACGCCUUUCGACGCCUGUCCACUGUCUUUCAAGCCCUGGUAAGGUUCCUCGCGUAUCAUCGAAUUAAACCACAUGCUCCUCCGCUUGUGCGGGCCCCCGUCAAUUCCUUUGAGUUUCAGUCUUGCGACCGUACUCCCCAGGUGGAUCACUUAAUGCUUUCGCUCAGACGCUGACAGUAUAUCGCCAACAUCGAGUGAUCAUAGUUUACGGCGUGGACUAC
Molecule: unclassified non-coding RNA, 374 nt
Filed under: uncultured Sphingobacteriales bacterium
Lineage: Bacteria; Pseudomonadati; Bacteroidota; Sphingobacteriia; Sphingobacteriales
Description: contains 16S-23S intergenic spacer region
Source: RNAcentral